RNAcentral lists this ribosomal RNA (1373 nucleotides) under Mycetocola sp. HP6E2. RNAcentral's name for it is "bacterial SSU rRNA". It matches the Rfam family "Bacterial small subunit ribosomal RNA". The record is from RNAcentral. Lineage: Bacteria; Bacillati; Actinomycetota; Actinomycetes; Micrococcales; Microbacteriaceae.
UCGAACGAUGAAGCCCAGCUUGCUGGGUGGAUUAGUGGCGAACGGGUGAGUAACACGUGAGUAACCUGCCCUUGACUCUGGGAUAAGCGUUGGAAACGACGUCUAAUACCGGAUACGAGCUUCCACCGCAUGGUGAGUUGCUGGAAAGAAUUUUGGUCAAGGAUGGACUCGCGGCCUAUCAGCUUGUUGGUGAGGUAAUGGCUCACCAAGGCGACGACGGGUAGCCGGCCUGAGAGGGUGACCGGCCACACUGGGACUGAGACACGGCCCAGACUCCUACGGGAGGCAGCAGUGGGGAAUAUUGCACAAUGGGCGAAAGCCUGAUGCAGCAACGCCGCGUGAGGGACGACGGCCUUCGGGUUGUAAACCUCUUUUAGCAGGGAAGAAGCGAAAGUGACGGUACCUGCAGAAAAAGCACCGGCUAACUACGUGCCAGCAGCCGCGGUAAUACGUAGGGUGCAAGCGUUGUCCGGAAUUAUUGGGCGUAAAGAGCUCGUAGGCGGUUUGUCGCGUCUGCUGUGAAAUCCCGAGGCUCAACCUCGGGUCUGCAGUGGGUACGGGCAGACUAGAGUGCGGUAGGGGAGAUUGGAAUUCCUGGUGUAGCGGUGGAAUGCGCAGAUAUCAGGAGGAACACCGAUGGCGAAGGCAGAUCUCUGGGCCGCUACUGACGCUGAGGAGCGAAAGGGUGGGGAGCAAACAGGCUUAGAUACCCUGGUAGUCCACCCCGUAAACGUUGGGCGCUAGAUGUGGGGACCAUUCCACGGUUUCCGUGUCGUAGCUAACGCAUUAAGCGCCCCGCCUGGGGAGUACGGCCGCAAGGCUAAAACUCAAAGGAAUUGACGGGGGCCCGCACAAGCGGCGGAGCAUGCGGAUUAAUUCGAUGCAACGCGAAGAACCUUACCAAGGCUUGACAUAUACGAGAACGGGCCAGAAAUGGUCAACUCUUUGGACACUCGUAAACAGGUGGUGCAUGGUUGUCGUCAGCUCGUGUCGUGAGAUGUUGGGUUAAGUCCCGCAACGAGCGCAACCCUCGUUCUAUGUUGCCAGCACGUAAUGGUGGGAACUCAUGGGAUACUGCCGGGGUCAACUCGGAGGAAGGUGGGGACGACGUCAAAUCAUCAUGCCCCUUAUGUCUUGGGCUUCACGCAUGCUACAAUGGCCAGUACAAAGGGCUGCAAUACCGUAAGGUGGAGCGAAUCCCAAAAAGCUGGUCCCAGUUCGGAUUGAGGUCUGCAACUCGACCUCAUGAAGUCGGAGUCGCUAGUAAUCGCAGAUCAGCAACGCUGCGGUGAAUACGUUCCCGGGCCUUGUACACACCGCCCGUCAAGUCAUGAAAGUCGGUAACACCCGAAGCCAGUGGCCUAACCGCAAGG